CUUGUUUUAUUUUUAGGCAACAUUCCUCCCGCCCGAGUACGGGAUCGUAACUGAAUAUCGCGAGAACUGACAUCAGUGGCACGUGCGGAUGCAGAACACACCGUCUGGUGCCAGCGUCCGACGGACAUGCACCUGUCCUUUGUCCCUUCAUAACAUCUGUGAUCUGAUUAACACCGCUGGGACAAAGACAUACAGCUGUGUCAUACUCAAGCCUAACUGUUAGGACGGCUGACUUUGUUUACGUGCACGACUUCACGGUUGCCUGAACCCCUACCCGCAUUGCUUCAACUAACCACCUUAUGCAGAACAGAAUCAUUCGAACCGCAACGCUGACAAUACCCUUUAUUCGCACUGAAAUGCCUUUCCUAUGAUGUAAGAGGUCGGUAUUAUUUCAAGGUUUGGGCACUGGAAAGAGGACCCUAGUUUAAGGUACGGACACAGGUUUUACUACAAGACACAAACCAGAGCCACCAUGACUUGGCCUGAGUUCAUCAAGCACAUGCUGGCGACCACCCACAAGAUACAGAAAGUAGCAGUGUUGGCUGAGGAUGGUCAGCCUCUAGCUGUGACGGAGGACCUUCAGGUGUCCGUGGAGGAGGGCCAGGCUCUGAUCAGGAGCAUCUUGGACCCUGCACGGACGGUCACAAAGAUCCACAUGGAUAACAACUUCUAUACGUGUUUCCAGGGCAACUCCAGGACGUUGGUUGGGACGUCGCCUAACAGAGACAGAAUAUUCGUCGCCCAUAAAUAUAAAGACUGCGUUGUGGUUGUGUUCGGCGGGACGAAGGGACAUGGGUCGUAUCUCUUUGAGUUGAAGAAGAAUCUUUGGGCGAGAGAACAUCAUCAGCAGCAGAUGACAAAUUUACCUAAUGAAGGGCAGAUCACUGAUGUACCCAGUCAAGAACAGAUAACCAAUAUACCCGGGCAAGGGCAGAUAACCAAUGUACCCAGCCAAGGGCAGAUUCAGCAGAUCUUGAAUGCAGCUGAGGACGAAAGGUUAGCUUCUCAAGAAGCAGACGACAUCGAACAACUCUCCCAGAUGGACCAGGAACCGAUGGACAUUGAUGACUUUCCACAAGGACAAGACAGAAUAGGUGAUGAUCUAAACCUACUCCAACUACAUGAUUGACUGUUGGGUUUGUUUAGAAUUGGCGAUCUUCUUGUGUUCAAGUACAUGCAAUAUUUAUAUGAAGCAUUUAGCAUAUUAUCUUGUAAGGAAUGAAACUCUGGAGGCAGCUGGUGUCCUCGUUGUUACAUAUGCAACAAAUAACCCGAAAUACUCAUUUUAGAUAUUUUACCUACAGGACCUCGUUUCACAAUAAUCCUGUUGUGUGUUUCAUGGUUACACAAUGGGCUAUUCUACCAUUGUUUUCUGAAGCCAGUGCAAUCACAGAACCAUUUAUGUAAAGAUGAUUUAUUGUUCAGAAUAACACUAUUCAACCUUAUAUUUUCCCCCCGUUUACUCAACUUAAUAUAUAUGAGCAUGUGUCCUAUCCUUUCCCAAACAAUCCCAUGGUGUCAUUGUACAAAACAAAUUCUAUCGCUACGACUGUCGUAACUUUAUUUUAAGGUAUGGGAGUUACGGUCACCUUAGCGCUAAGAUCGCUUUGUGUAGCAACACCAUGAUAUCAUUGUACAACACAACCUUAGCGCGACAACUGUCGUAAGUCUAUGUUAAGGUAUGGGAGUUACGGUCACUUUAGCGAUAAGAUCGCUUUGUGCAGCAACACCAUGAUAUCAUUGUACAACACAACCUUAGCGCGACAACUGUCGUAAGUCUGUGUUAAGGUAUGGGAAGUUAUGAUACUUGAUAAUACACCCUGAAUGUGUAUAGUACUAUACCCGCCUAGAAAAGUAGUCGUGGCCUGCUCAACAGUGUAAACUUCAUAAACACUAUAAUUUCGUAAGGAAUGUGGAGUUCAUACUCUGGGCUGUUCCAGGGUAAUUCAUUCCGCACUAGUUAGUGUCAGGACAAACACAAAUGGUGCAGCCAUGCACUGAAUAGAGUUUGUCAUAUGACGAAAGCGAAAGGUUCAGAUUCGACAACUUACAUUUGCUCUGCCACACAUUGGGCAACCAUGCGCGCAAAGUGGGAUAUUAUAGGUCAUUUCAGGUUUACUUCAUUGAAAGAACCUGUUUUGACUGACACUAUAUUUGAGGUUGAAUCGUUUUCAUUACUGAAUAUACCUAUGCGUGUCUUGCAGGGUGAGGAAGUAUUUUCGACCCCUGAGGAACAUACCUCGGCCUUUGUCCCAAAGUGACACUGUUCAAGAAUCUUGCCUUUAAACAGUGGACGUAGCAGGAACGUCUCCACACCUCUUGACGAGAGCGUAUUACAAUACAAGCGGGACAUGUUGAUAUCCCUACUGAAUAAUCUAUUGACAGUGUUUGGUGCUAUAACAAAUGUAUUGUAUACAGACACAUCUGCUUUUCUCUGAUCUAAUGGCAGUUUUGUAGUUUAUGGCGUACCGUGUGUUCAACAAUACAUGUAUUAUAAAUAAUUAUAUUAUGGCAAUUUUAAAUGAGUAUAUGGGUUAUUGUGUCAUUGGAUUGUCUGGUCCACUGAAACUGGAUUGUUUGGUCAAGACUCGAUGUUUCAUAGGCCGGGGUCAUGUGACUGCAUUGCCGCUGUGCGGAGAUAUGCAACGAUAAAAAACUUGCCUUUUUCAUGCAAACUGUCUGAAUGGUGGGUGCUACUGGUAAGGUAAGAAAAGCUUACCCUUUUGCUGACUGCUUCCCGGUGAUUCGUCCAUAUAACGUUCUACGCUUCUUUGCAUUUAUAGCCCAGUGGAAUCAAUUUAUAUAAUGACUUUAAUUUAGUUUUAUGCGCUUUUAGCAAUAUUCCAGCAAUAUCACGGUGGACACCAAAAAUGGGAUUCAGUAGGGAAUCGAACCCGGGUCUUCGGCGUGAAGGCGGACGCUUUAAUCACUAGUCUACCCCACCGACACUUUUAUAUAAUGAAGACUGAUUAAUCUACAACGUUUUUUAAAUACUUAAAUACCACUACAUUUAACCAUGAUUUCAGUUCGAACAUUCAUUUCUGUGACGAAAUGAAGUAGUUAGCGUAUAAUACUUAAACUCACAUGAAUGCGCGUGCGCGCACUCACACACACACACACACAUUUAUACAUGGCUAUUCAUACUACGUAAUUUAUAACGCAUAUCUUAAAAUUCGGAUUAUAAAUCACCUGACUGCUUUCAGCUGCUCUCCUGUCUUUCCUUUUAGCUUCUGCUUGUAAUUUCAGGCAAAGCAUAUAUUUUGACUAAAUAUUUAUAUAUUUUUCAAAGGUUUGUCUUUUUUAAUAUACACUGUAUAUUAUCUUAUCCUGUAUCUCUUAUUAUUUUUUAUUGUUUAUACAAUAAACCGCUUUAAUCAACUAAUACUCAUCUGUUUCGGUGAACUAAGUAGUUUGGCAUUACUCUAUUUGAUAUAUUAUUCCCAUGGGAUUAUUGUAACACAUACUUUAACAUGAAUGAUACCACUGAACUAAACGUAUAGUUGUUGAUGAUGGUGUUUGGGAUUUUACGAGCGCUUCCAGAACUCCUCAGUUUGCACAUUUUUAAAUGAAGCAUCUUUCCGAGCAUAUCAAAGAUCCGAGAAUCAUCACCUUUUUUUUACUGACCCUGCCUGCAAUGUGUCAGUUCAGUAUUUUUCGUACCGUGGGUUACCCUUAGUGGCCUCCAGUUGUCAUUGGAGGUGGGUCAGCCACUGGCCGUCACGCAGGGCCUUCAGUUGUCAGUGGAUGUCGGUGAGGUACUGGCUAUGACGGGACCUCCACUUGUCAAUGGAGGUGGGUCAGAUACCAGCCGUUGACGGGUGACCAUCAGUUGUCCGAAAACUCCGUUCUCGAAGAGUUACUCUGAAACAUUGCAAAUACAGCUUCGAUAUCUGUAUCAAAUAUAUUACCAUCUUGUUUGUUUCAGUUUUAGUCAUCAUCGGGCAUUGGGGUAUAUCUAUUCAUAUUAGUAUGUUAAUUAUAAACUGAGGAAAAAAAAUAAGGGAUCGCAUGAACACACGAGUGUUCCUUUAUUUUUUUCCCUGGUUUCUUCACAAAAUUUGUAUCGCAAAACUUGUGAAGGAACCUGGACAAAAGUAAAAGAACACUUGUGAUUUCAUGCGAUCCCUUAUUUUUUCCCGUCAGUAUAUAUCUGAUGUAUCAUUGAGUGAUAAAUGUUGUCCUUAUGAAUGAUAAACACACACACACAAACAAGCACACAUAAUUCUUAUAAGGGUUGGGCAUUACAUUACUAAGCGACUCUGUGUACUGACAUAUUAAACUGCACCAUCUGGAGUCACAAGGUUACAGAGCCACUGUAUAGAGCUGCAUCUUUCUGUACUUAUACCCUGUAAGUCCUGUGUGCAUUCCUCUCAUAUACUGUUACCAUGUAUAAUGCUGUCGGUAAUAAAUGACAUCUAUCUCGGUGUUCA
This 4430-nucleotide unclassified non-coding RNA is filed under the name Haliotis rubra (blacklip abalone). RNAcentral's name for it is "uncharacterized LOC124283936, transcript variant X2". Lineage: Eukaryota; Metazoa; Mollusca; Gastropoda; Lepetellida; Haliotidae. The record is from RNAcentral.